CCUACGGGAGGCAGCAGUGAGGAAUAUUGGUCAAUGGGCGCGAGCCUGAACCCGCCAAGUAGCGUGAAGGAUGACUGCCCUACUGGUUGUAAACUUCUUUUAUAAAGGAAUAAAGUGAGGCACGUUUGCCUUUUUGUAUGUACUUUAUGAAUAAGGAUCGGCUAACUCCGUUCCAGCAGCCGCGGUAAUACGGAGGAUCCGAGCGUUAUCCGUAUUUAUUGGGUUUAAAGGGAGCGUAGAUGGGUGGUUAAGUCAGUUGUGAAAGUUUGCGGCUCAACCGUAAAAUUGCAAUUGAUACUGGAAGCGUGGAGUACAGUUGAGGUAGGCGGAAUUCGUGGUGUAGCGGUGAAAUGAUUAGAUAUCACGAAGAACUCCGAGUGCGAAGGCAGCUUACUAAACUGCAACUGACAGUGAUGCUCGAAAGUGUGGGUAUCAAACAGGAUUAGAUACCCCAGUAGUC
Molecule: ribosomal RNA, 460 nt
Filed under: uncultured bacterium
Lineage: Bacteria
Description: partial 16S ribosomal RNA
Rfam family: Bacterial small subunit ribosomal RNA
Source: RNAcentral